UCCUACCCCUUCCUUCAUUACGCCAAACACUCUUCCUAUUAUGCUUCCUUUGACAGAAAGAUGACCAACAGAACAGAUCUAGAUUUUCAUAUUUUAACUACUUGUAUGCUGCGUGUGCACAUGGAGGAACUGGCUGAUGGAAGGGGAGCGUUUCUGGUUUCUGCUGGAGAAAACCAGAGCUGUUUAGCUAUAUCUCAUGGGACCCAGUAUGCUUGCGGAGAGUCUGCCAUGGCUGAAGGCAUAGUGGGCCUGUGCUCAGUGAGGGAUAAACAUGGAGAUACAUGGAGACAGGGAUUUGUCAUCCUUUUAUAGGGGAAGGCUAUGUCCUCAGUCAUGAAUCUGAGGCCACAUGGGUUUAGUCACCCCUUGGUUUUGCCCUUAGCUUUUACAAACAGCACUUUGAUUUCAGCCUGUGCCAGCUAGUUCGAGGUAAUAUGUGACCUGCUUUAGAGCAGCCCUUCGUUGCUUGCUUGCUCUCCUUCUCUACUUGAUGAUGUGAGAGGCUGUGCUGAUGUGGCAGAGAUGCACUGCUCUAAAAUGGCAGGAGUGAGGGAGAAGCAAGGCACUACCACAUCUCCCAGGGUUUCUUGGGACAUGGACAGCUUUCAAGAGCUUUUGUCUUAUUUUUAAGCCAUAUGGACUAAACUAAACUGCUGACAAGAUGUCUCUUGGCGCUCUUUCCCCAAGAUGUCUCUGUGAAAUUUUAAGAUGCAUUUUGUAGACCUCAUGAUCUGUAAAUUAACUGCAGACUUGAUGAGCCAGGGAAAUGGGGAAGAGUGGAUGUAUUCCCUGAAGAGUGGGAAAUGGGUUAAAGGAAGCACAGCAGGAGGAAGUCUGGGAUUCUGCAAUGGUGAAGGGUGCUUUGGGCUCUUCUGGGUGCCUUGGGCAUGACCCUUCUCUCUUGACUCAAUUAGUAGCACAUCAUGCCCCUUAACACAAAAUGGACAAGAGAACAUGCUCUUCCUGCUUGAACCUGCACAUGAACAUCAGAAGUAAGCAGCUGAAGUACUUUGACUAGCUUCUUUCAUCGCAGGAGCUGUGUUGCUUGCAAAGAUAGGGCAGUGACUGGCAUGAAAUGGUCUGCAGGAGUCCUUGGAUCACUUGGCAAUACCGAGCUUCUUUGGGGCAAUAGCUUUUCUGUUAAAAUUUACUCCUUGGAAGUGCUGAAGAUACCUGAGGAUUUACCUUUAAGUAAAGUGACUGGGAAACACAGAGACUCAGCCCUUCUGGAAGCAGGCACCAGGAAGUCAACAGAAAGCUGUCCCCAGUGUUCUUCACUUGGCAUCACCUUGUGAACAAGCACCAAGUCUCGAUGAAUGGGAGGGGACUCACGACUUCCACCUGGAGCACGGUGUCUAUUUGAUCCACUCUGGAGUCUCAGCAGGAAUCGGAAUUCAUCCUGCAGGUCUUCUCCAGGAGGCAUGUUAUUAGACAGAUGCAAAUAACAGGAAUGGCAAAUAAUGGUUGGCAUGUGAAGAGGAGCUGGAUGAUGAAGUAUACUGCGACAGCAAUACUGACAUGAAAUUGAAAGGAACUCCUGGCAAACAAAUUAAUCAGCUAGAGCAGGACACACUACUGCAUAUGCUGGAGGUUUUCUGGGUAUGGAUAUUGCACACAUUAAGUAUGCAGCUGGGGUAGAGGAGGUACUGGUCAGCCUCACUGCACGUGCUCUGCAUUUUCAGGAUUUAUGUCCAGAUGGGGACAUCGACUUAGAAAAGCAGGGAAAACAAAUACUUCUUCAGUGCCUGGAAAGGGUGAUAGGCAUGAGUUUAACGUGGGGCUAUGCAGUCAAGACCUGAUCAGAACCUCUGUCUCCUGGAGCCCAGCCUUGAAUCUGGACAAUGAGCUCCUCUCUGCCUUGUGUACUAGAGUGCUACUGCUCUGUAAUUCAUGUACUGUUGUGAGCCAGAUCUUUCUGAUAAACAAUGCUUCUUCUUCGCUAGCAUCCAGGAGCUUGAGUUAUGAUCCUGUCCCAAAGUCUGAGGCUUGCAAGGAGCCAGUGAUCACUGGGCAGUUCUUCUGUUAUCUUGCCAUCUGUGUAUGCAUACCCUCACAUUCCCUUCUCCCCUUCUCUUGCCAUUGUCCUCAAAAAAAAAAAAAAAGUUGAAAUAUUGCACUGAGAAAGGGAAAAAAAUAUAUAUUUUUCCCUCUUAGAGAAAGAAAUGCUAACGGUUACCUUUGCCUUUCCUUCCUGCUGUGUCUUACACAGGAUUAGGCCUGAAAAGCAGUAGCACCGAGCUUGAAGUUCAAUUUAUCAGUACAGUCAGGACUGAUUUGUUACACUACCUGUUCUGGGGAAACAAAUGUCUCCAUUGCUCUCCUCUCCAGUCCAGGCAGACCUUUGUUUUGCUCAGAUCAAUUAUCGAAGGUAGGAAGCUGAUGCUCCACAGAUAAAGGCAUGAAAACUGCAAAAUCCUGACUAAUGCUACUUAGCCUGGCAGUGCCAGAGACCGAUGCUGGUUGCAAAGCACCCACUUGUCAUUUUGGUGGCUGCAGAUACGAAGCAGAAAGAGCGCCCUUUGCCUGGACUUAAUCUCCUACUUUUGUUGUUGUUGUUGAAAAUGCAGUGAAAAGUCAUAGAAAAUGAUUCUUGGGUGAAUUACGUGUCCCAUUUAUCACUAAUAACAUUGUAACUGGAGGGUCAACUUCAUCCUUGGAGCUCAAAUUCAUAGUAAGAGUCAGGUUGAAGAUGAGGUUGUUUUUUGUACAAAUUUUUAUCUCCUUUAUGAGACAACAGAAAUAGACUUUGCUACUGCUUUUGAAGGAAAUAAGUUUUUCUAUGAAAAUUUGCUACUGUAAUCUAGCAAUUAUUAUUCUCACCAUUUAAAAAAUGAUCAGUUAAAAAAGCUCACAAUUAAAAAAAAUCACUUUUCUCCCCAAAUCCAUUUUGACAGAAUAGUUACAGCAAACCUUACAGAAAUGUAGGAUUUACAUUUUCAGAUUCAAAAGACCCAGCAUGUGGAUUGGUACGAAGAGCUAUAUUAGAAAAGGACCCAUUUUUUUCUGACUUGUUUCUAACAAGUUAUACAUGUGUCUCAUGUUGAGGUAAGGGUGAAUAGCUGAGCACCCUGCAGAGAGAGCUGUGGAGAUCUUCGUGCUUCUGCAGAGGCAGCUAUGAGAAUGAUGGCUGCAGCUGAUGCUUAUUAAGUGGGAUGAAAUGAAAGCUAUAGCUGCUUUAAAGUAGCUGGUUUUCCUCAGCUGAAAGCAGCAUUUCUUUCUCAUAAAUAUGCUACAACUAGACAUAAAACGUCUACCUUGCACUACCUGCCUUUUGGUGACACUAUCAGAAUAUUAGCCUGAUGAUGCUCAUCCUUGGGGACUGUGAAGAACCAUGACUCCCAGCCUCCGUGGACAAAUUCAGACCACAGAAAUAGCCCUGAGCAUCUCAAAAGCAGUUUGACCUGAAGGACUGAAGAUUUUUGAAUAUCUGAGAUGAACGCUGCUGACAACUCAAUUUUUACUUCAGGCUGCUCUUCUUGAUUUUGCAGGGCAUGGCGUGGAAGCAAAGCUUGGGCACUUCACAGCCUCCAGUGUCUAGAUCAGUGUUUUCAAAUGUGCACAAGUUUUCAACAGUUUUUAAACUGCUGAAUUUCACAGAACUUUAAUUGUAUCAAAUGCAAAAAGAAGAUGACACUAUACAAAACUAACAUAUAACUAGGCACAUAAAGAAUUUAGGGGCUGAAGUAACCAAAUAAUUCCUGUGCUGCAAGAACAAAUUGCUGAGAGCAGCAGAAGGAACUCUGAUCUCUCUCUUCUCUCUCUUUCUCUCUUUUUUUUUUUUUUUUUUUUUUUUUUUUUUAAAUAGUGCAGAGUACCUGGAAAUAAAUUUAAAAAAAAAUGCAGGAGAAAAUCAGUGGAAAGGCAGUACAGGGAUGCCAUUUUUUAAUACUACUCAUUAAAUUAUGUAAAAUGGUAGCAAUGAAUUUGGAGACCAAUCAAAGAAUUUCUGUUAACUCCAGUUCGUGUGCUGUGGUGUGGCAUGGAGGGGAGGAGGUGGGCAUACAGUGCCUCCCCCAGCUCAGGGGUCUGCCAGGCUCUGCUAGCUUGUUCUGGGUUACAAUUACCCCUCCUGGCUGUGUCCAGGCUGCAAGGACAGAUCCGGACUGGGACCUGAGCCUCUCAUCGCACCCAGCACGUGGAGGAUAAAAACAAAAGGCUCUGUGAUCCCAGUUCUCCUGCCACUGGCAUCUGUUUGCUGAAACAAAGAUUAAAAGCCUGAGUUUCUACAAAGAUAUUUUAAUGGCAGUCAAAACCAGGCUCCCAAAAGAAAAUUAACCAUUGCUUGGACUGAGCAAUGAGCUCUAAUGAAAUGAAGUGAUGAGGAAAAUAGAGCUAGACUUGCAGAGUUUGAUUUGAUAAGGCAGGCUGAGGACAGUGGGCACGAGACACUGGCUAAAUGUUAGUUUUUACUUGCAGCUGAGUUUUACAUCUUUAGGCAAGACUUGAUCUCUUCUACAAGCAAAUAACACACUCAUUUACAUGAAUAAUCCACAUUUCUUAUGCAAAUAACUUCCCUACUGCUGUUUCUACUGUGAAUAAUAUACAGUAUAAUUACCACAUUUAUUUAGUGAAUAUAUUUUCGCAGGGUAGCUCUCUGUCCAUGAAUGCUCUUCAUUAGAAAGGCCCAAAAAGCAACGGAGGAGCCCAAGCUGUCAGUCACGUGAGCCCUCCUCUUUCUAUUUCUGUUCUGAUAAAGCAUUUUGGGAGCAUUUGAGAUGCCUCAGCAAGAGCAGAAGGAUGUCAGUAUCCUGGCUCCAUCCCAGGGAGACCACCUGCUGCUAAUGGAAGGCAGCUACCACCCCGCCGCCCCGCUGCCUCCAUCCCUCCCUCCCUGCUAGCUAGCCUGCUGCUCAAGCUUCAGCUAACCAUAAUGAGGCAAGGCACUUUGCACAGUAACUUCCCUUUGUUUAUAAGGCCAUCUUAAUUUUUGUGUGUGUUUAAGUUGGUAAUUGCCGAGAAAUUUGACAAUCUUCCAGGCUUUACCGCUCUUAAUUAGGUUCACAUGCAUAUGCAUCAUCUUCUUGUGUGCUCAUUACUGCAAAGAGAUCAGAGCCUGAACCUUUGGAACAGUUUCCUCCAAUUUUCUGGCAUACACAGACUUCCCUGUGAAAUAACCCUCCUGCGUGGGACAGCCUACUCUGUUCGGAGCAUGUCUUGUUGUCCCGAGGAAGCUCUGCUCUGUGCAGUUAAAUCAAAAUGUAUUUCUUAUUUUGCGUGCCUCACCUGCCUUGCUGCUACCUAGACUUUCCCUUGGUCAUAGCACCAUCUGUUGAAAUGCCUUUUUGGUAGGAGUUGUUAUGGCUCCCAAUGGAAAAUGUUUCAACUUCUUAGCAUCCAGAUUGAUUCUUUACCUGCUCUGUUUGCAUCUAU
Molecule: non-coding RNA, 5370 nt
Organism: Anas platyrhynchos (mallard)
Lineage: Eukaryota; Metazoa; Chordata; Aves; Anseriformes; Anatidae
Source: RefSeq, a predicted model, not a curated record